ACGGGAGGCAGCAGUGGGGAAUUUUGGACAAUGGGGGCAACCCUGAUCCAGCCAUCCCGCGUGUGCGAUGAAGGCCUUCGGGUUGUAAAGCACUUUUGGCAGGAAAGAAACGGCGUCGGCUAAUACCUGGCGUAACUGACGGUACCUGCAGAAUAAGCACCGGCUAACUACGUGCCAGCAGCCGCGGUAAUACGUAGGGUGCAAGCGUUAAUCGGAAUUACUGGGCGUAAAGCGUGCGCAGGCGGUUCGGAAAGAAAGAUGUGAAAUCCCAGGGCUUAACCUUGGAACUGCAUUUUUAACUACCGGGCUAGAGUGUGUCAGAGGGGGGUGGAAUUCCACGUGUAGCAGUGAAAUGCGUAGAUAUGUGGAGGAACACCGAUGGCGAAGGCAGCCCCCUGGGAUAACACUGACGCUCAUGCACGAAAGCGUGGGGAGCAAACAGGAUUAGAUACCCUGGUAGUCCACGCCCUAAACGAUGUCAACUAGCUGUUGGGGCCUUCGGGCCUUGGUAGCGCAGCUAACGCGUGAAGUUGACCGCCUGGGGAGUACGGUCGCAAGAUUAAAACUCAAAGGAAUUGACGGGGACCCGCACAAGCGGUGGAUGAUGUGGAUUAAUUCGAUGCAACGCGAAAAACCUUACCUACCCUUGACAUGUCUGGAAUCCCGAAGAGAUUUGGGAGUGCUCGCAAGAGAACCGGAACACAGGUGCUGCAUGG
RNAcentral lists this ribosomal RNA (716 nucleotides) under Bordetella sp. RNAcentral describes it as "bacterial SSU rRNA". It matches the Rfam family "Bacterial small subunit ribosomal RNA", at positions 341 to 1048 of the family's 1533-position model. The record is from RNAcentral. Lineage: Bacteria; Pseudomonadati; Pseudomonadota; Betaproteobacteria; Burkholderiales; Alcaligenaceae.